UACGAAGGGUGCAAGCGUUGCUCGGAAUCAUUGGGCGUAAAGCGCACGUAGGCGGCUUUGCAAGUCGGACGUGAAAUCCCUCAGCUCAACUGAGGAAGUGCAUCCGAAACUGCAAGGCUUGAGUACUGAAGAGGAUCGCGGAAUUCCCGGUGUAGAGGUGAAAUUCGUAGAUAUCGGGAGGAACACCAGUGGCGAAGGCGGCGAUCUGGGCAGAUACUGACGCUGAGGUGCGAAAGCGUGGGGAGCAAACAGG
RNAcentral lists this ribosomal RNA (253 nucleotides) under uncultured bacterium. RNAcentral describes it as "partial 16S ribosomal RNA". It matches the Rfam family "Bacterial small subunit ribosomal RNA", at positions 524 to 776 of the family's 1533-position model. The record is from RNAcentral.